GUCUCUCUGAUCCCCUCGCGGGUGCAACACACCAAACAAUCGAGCCUGCGUGCUGCCGAAGCAGGGCGCCGAGUCCAUGCGAACUGCCAUCUGAUCCGCUCUUAUCAAUGAAGCAGCCGAUCAUGGCGGAUGGCCCCCGGUGCAAGAGGCGCAAACAAGCCAAUCCCAGGAGGAAAAACGCCUUGGAGUCAGAAAUGAGCACUCGGAGCGGGAGAUGCCCUGCUGCUGCUUGCCACCGGUGCGGCCCGUUUGUAACUUGCAAAGUUUGUUGCUUUUGCCCCUGAUUCGGGCAGCGGGUCCUGGGAUGCUCCUGCUUCCCUCCUGCCUCCCACGGAGCCCGGGAAGAGGGUCUGCCUCCCCAUCCCGCCACCUUCCAGCAUCAGCCUCUGAAAAAUCUCACAGAGACAUGCACGUUGUAGCAAAAAUCAAAUCCGGAAACUGCUUGUUUCAGAGAAAGAAAUGAAGUUGUCUUUUAAAGAAAAACUGAAUUAGGAGGAGAGAAAAGGGAAAUAGGAGAAGAAAGGAAAAGUUAAAUUUGAUUUUUCUCCAGAGUUU
This 555-nucleotide long non-coding RNA is filed under the name Homo sapiens (human). Its description in RNAcentral is "non-protein coding lnc-ZEB2-1:12". Lineage: Eukaryota; Metazoa; Chordata; Mammalia; Primates; Hominidae. The record is from RNAcentral.